GAUUAACGCUGGCGGCAUGCCUAAUACAUGCAAAUCGAACGAAGCCUUUUGGCUUAAUGGUGAACGGGUAAGUAACACGUAUCCAAUCUACCCUUAAGUUUGGGAUAACUAGUCGAAAGAUUAGCUAAUACCGGAUAAUAACAUUCACAUGCAUGAGUGAAUGUGGAAAGUUGCGUUUGCAACGCUUUUGGAUGAGGGUGCGACGUAUCAGAUAGUUGGUGAGGUAACGGCUCACCAAGUCAUUGACGCGUAGCUGCACUGAGAGGUGGAACAGCCACAAUGGGACUGAGACACGGCCCAU
This 301-nucleotide ribosomal RNA is filed under the name uncultured bacterium. Its description in RNAcentral is "bacterial SSU rRNA". It matches the Rfam family "Bacterial small subunit ribosomal RNA", at positions 28 to 334 of the family's 1533-position model. The record is from RNAcentral.